Molecule: ribosomal RNA, 253 nt
Filed under: uncultured bacterium
Lineage: Bacteria
Description: partial 16S ribosomal RNA
Rfam family: Bacterial small subunit ribosomal RNA
Source: RNAcentral
UACGGGGGGGGCAAGCGUUGUUCGGAAUUACUGGGCGUAAAGGGCUCGUAGGUGGCCAACUAAGUCAGACGUGAAAUCCCUCGGCUUAACCGGGGAACUGCGUCUGAUACUGGAUGGCUUGAGAUUGGGAGAGGGAUGCGGAAUUCCAGGUGUAGGGGUGAAAUGCGUAGAUAUCUGGAGGAACACCGGUGGCGAAGGCGGCAUCCUGGACCAACACUGACACUGAGGAGCGAAAGCCAGGGGAGCAAACGGG